GACCAUGGUCAGACUCUGUCGAGCACGUUCUGACUGCGAAUCAGGAGAUUGCAGGUUCGAGCCCUGCUGUGGUCA
This 75-nucleotide transfer RNA is filed under the name Verticillium longisporum. RNAcentral's name for it is "Verticillium dahliae var. longisporum tRNA". The record is from Rfam by way of RNAcentral. Lineage: Eukaryota; Fungi; Ascomycota; Sordariomycetes; Glomerellales; Plectosphaerellaceae.